This 782-nucleotide ribosomal RNA is filed under the name Pseudohydnum cystidiatum. RNAcentral's name for it is "partial large subunit ribosomal RNA". It matches the Rfam family "Eukaryotic large subunit ribosomal RNA", at positions 81 to 850 of the family's 3401-position model. Lineage: Eukaryota; Fungi; Basidiomycota; Agaricomycetes; Auriculariales. The record is from RNAcentral.
UAGUAACGGCGAGUGAAGCGGGAAAAGCUCAAAUUUGAAAUCUGGCGGUCUACGGCCGUCCGAGUUGUAGUCUAGAGAGGCGUCUUCCGCGUCGGACCAUGCACAAGUCCCUUGGAACAGGGCGUCAUAGAGGGUGAGAAUCCCGUCCGUGGCAUGGACUCCCGGUGCUCUGUGAUGCGCCUUCGAAGAGUCGAGUUGUUUGGGAAUGCAGCUCAAAAUGGGUGGUAAAUUCCAUCUAAAGCUAAAUACAGGCGAGAGACCGAUAGCGAACAAGUACCGUGAGGGAAAGAUGAAAAGCACUUUGGAAAGAGAGUUAAACAGUACGUGAAAUUGUUGAAAGGGAAACGCUUGGAGUCAGUCGCGUUUGCCGGGACUCAGCCUAGCUUCUGCUCGGUGCACUUCCCGGUACACGGGCCAGCAUCGAUUUCGACNGCCGGAAAAAGGCUUGGGGAAGGUGGCACCUCCGGGUGUGUUAUAGCCCCUCGUUGUAUACGGUGGUUGGGAUCGAGGACNGCAGCACGCCUUUUGGUCGGGGUUCNCCCACGCCACGUGCUUAGGAUGCUGGCGUAAUGGCUUUAAACGACCCGUCUUGAAACACGGACCAAGGAGUCUAACAUGCCUGCGAGUGUUUGGGUGUAAAACCCAGGCGCGUAAUGAAAGUGAAAGGUUGGGACUCUUCGCUGAGGCACCGACGCCCGAUCCUGACGUUCUCUGACGGAUUUGAGGUAGAGCAUGUAUGUUGGGACCCGAAAGAUGGUGAACUAUGCCUGAAUAGGGGCGAA